UUAAUGGCUGUCUCAGCUCGUGUUGUGAAAUGUUGGGUUAAGUCCCGCAACGAGCGCAACCCUUUUCCUUGUUUGCCASCACUUMGGGUGGGAACUCCAGGGARACUGCCSGUGAUAAACCGGAGGAAGGUGGGGACGACGUCAAGUCMUCAUGGCCCUUACGAGUAGGGCUACACACGUGCUACAAUGGCGCAUACAGAGGGCGGCCAACUUGYGARAGUGAGCGAAUCCCAAAAAGUGCGUCGUACUCCGGAUCGGAGUCUGCAACUCGACUCCGUGAAGUCGGAAUCGCUAGUAAUCGUGGAUCAGAAUGCCGCGGUGAAUACGUUCCCGGGA
This 336-nucleotide ribosomal RNA is filed under the name uncultured Vibrio sp. RNAcentral describes it as "partial 16S ribosomal RNA". It matches the Rfam family "Bacterial small subunit ribosomal RNA", at positions 1042 to 1378 of the family's 1533-position model. The record is from RNAcentral. Lineage: Bacteria; Pseudomonadati; Pseudomonadota; Gammaproteobacteria; Vibrionales; Vibrionaceae.